This 856-nucleotide unclassified non-coding RNA is filed under the name Hevea brasiliensis (rubber tree). Lineage: Eukaryota; Viridiplantae; Streptophyta; Magnoliopsida; Malpighiales; Euphorbiaceae. The record is from RNAcentral.
CACGUGGCUACUAUAUUAUAAUUAGAAAAAGAUAAAAUGAAAAGAAAGAAAUAAAGAAAGGAUGAGGAAGUAGAUCAUUUCUUGUAUGAAAAUAGGAUACUCCAGUCAAUUAUACAACUAUUGAAUUACAGCUCAAAAUUCCAUGAGCUCUCGGCAGAUAAUUUUGGCAGGUGUAGCCCCUCUGCCAAAUUGCAACACGCUGAAAUCUUAAUCCCUCCCUCUUUGUUUAGCAAUGAUUUCCACGACCACUCGACUCCCAAAUUUUUGCUCGCAGUCUCAUACGAAACUCUGAUCACAUCACUAUCAAUCCUAUGCGACACCGCCAAGUCCCAAGAAUUCUUGGCAAAGUCAUAGCAUGGCUCCAAUGCGGUGACUCCUCGGUGCACAUAGCUGUACUUCAACUUGCAAUCCCUGGAACCCAAUUUAUAGCUAGCGGAGAGCUUGUUAGCCGGGUCAAGAACAAGAGUCCCAUCCAAAACCGUUCGAUUUUCGCUUCUAGAGUGAGUGUAAGUCCAAUUCACCUGUUUCUCCAAUACAUUCAGUGUGUUCAUAAACUGAAAGCGGACAUCCUGAUUGGGAACGUCGUAGUCGACUAUAAAGGAGCCAGGCUUCUCGAGAGAAAGAAAGAAGCCAUCUACAUCGACGGCGGACCCAUUGCCAAAGGCGGCGUUGCCAAUGACUGCUCGGAGCCUGACAUCUCCGGCGUUGGCGGUGACAGUUCCGGUGACGCCCUUAUUACCCCUAACGGAGACCGCGCUUCUUAUCAUUUUGUGCGCAUGUAGAGUGGGCUUUUUCAAGGGUUCAUAGGACUGAACGUUUGCAGUGUUGCAGAUGCUGGAGUGUCCACUCCUAUACG